Molecule: non-coding RNA, 253 nt
Filed under: uncultured bacterium
Lineage: Bacteria
Also listed under: 1 other name
Description: partial 16S ribosomal RNA
Rfam family: Bacterial small subunit ribosomal RNA
Source: RNAcentral
UACGUAGGGUGCAAGCGUUAAUCGGAAUUACUGGGCGUAAAGCGUGCGCAGGCGGUUCGGCAAGAAGGAUGUGAAAUCCCGGGGCUUAACCUCGGAACUGCAUUCUUAACUGCCGGGCUAGAGUAUGUCAGAGGGGGGUAGAAUUCCGCGUGUAGCAGUGAAAUGCGUAGAGAUGCGGAGGAAUACCGAUGGCGAAGGCAGCCCCCUGGGAUAAUACUGACGCUCAUGCACGAAAGCGUGGGGAGCAAACAGG